AUACGGAGGGGGCUAGCGUUGUUCGGAAUUACUGGGCGUAAAGGGCGCGUAGGUGGUUCGGCUAGUCGGAUGUGAAAGCCCCGGGCUCAACUCGGGAACUGCAUUUGAAACUGCCUGACUAGAGUGUGAUAGAGGAGAGUGGAAUUCUCGGUGUAGCGGUGAAAUGCGUAGAUAUCCGGAGGAACACCAGUGGCGAAGGCGGCUUCCUGGACCAAUACUGACGCUGAGGUGCGAAAGCGUGGGGAGCAAACAGGAUUAGAAACCCCGGUAGUCC
This 274-nucleotide ribosomal RNA is filed under the name uncultured bacterium. RNAcentral's name for it is "partial 16S ribosomal RNA". It matches the Rfam family "Bacterial small subunit ribosomal RNA", at positions 523 to 796 of the family's 1533-position model. The record is from RNAcentral.